This is an unclassified non-coding RNA of Erinaceus europaeus (western European hedgehog), 324 nucleotides long. Its record names the gene 7SK. It matches the Rfam family "7SK RNA". From Rfam's summary of the family: 7SK was discovered as an abundant small nuclear RNA in the mid-70s but a possible function has only recently been suggested. Two independent studies have found that 7SK RNA binds the CDK9/cyclin T complex (known as elongation factor P-TEFb). The record is from Ensembl. Lineage: Eukaryota; Metazoa; Chordata; Mammalia; Eulipotyphla; Erinaceidae.
GGAUGUGAGGGCGAUCCGGCUGCGACAUCUGUCACCCUAAUGAUCGCCAGGGUUGAUUGGGCUGAUCUGGCUGGCUAGGCAGAUAUCCCUUUCCUCACUCACGGAUUCAUGUGCGUCCCUCCCGAAGCUGCAUGCUUGGUCAAAGAGGGCAGCCUUGCCUGAAUAGAGAGGGACUAGAGACGGACAGGUCUUCAGUUAAGGGUGUUAAGAGUAGCUGCGCUCCUGUGCUCUCAAAACACAAGGACCUGGGUUUGAGUCCCCAGUUCCUACCUGCAGGGAGAAAGUUUUUCAGGUGGUGAAGCAGUGCUGCAGGUGUCUCUCUGU